RNAcentral lists this ribosomal RNA (565 nucleotides) under Enterococcus faecalis. RNAcentral's name for it is "bacterial SSU rRNA". It matches the Rfam family "Bacterial small subunit ribosomal RNA", at positions 87 to 638 of the family's 1533-position model. Lineage: Bacteria; Bacillati; Bacillota; Bacilli; Lactobacillales; Enterococcaceae. The record is from RNAcentral.
AAAGAGGAGUGGCGGACGGGUGAGUAACACGUGGGUAACCUACCCAUCAGAGGGGGAUAACACUUGGAAACAGGUGCUAAUACCGCAUAACAGUUUAUGCCGCAUGGCAUAAGAGUGAAAGGCGCUUUCGGGUGUCGCUGAUGGAUGGACCCGCGGUGCAUUAGCUAGUUGGUGAGGUAACGGCUCACCAAGGCCACGAUGCAUAGCCGACCUGAGAGGGUGAUCGGCCACACUGGGACUGAGACACGGCCCAGACUCCUACGGGAGGCAGCAGUAGGGAAUCUUCGGCAAUGGACGAAAGUCUGACCGAGCAACGCCGCGUGAGUGAAGAAGGUUUUCGGAUCGUAAAACUCUGUUGUUAGAGAAGAACAAGGACGUUAGUAACUGAACGUCCCCUGACGGUAUCUAACCAGAAAGCCACGGCUAACUACGUGCCAGCAGCCGCGGUAAUACGUAGGUGGCAAGCGUUGUCCGGAUUUAUUGGGCGUAAAGCGAGCGCAGGCGGUUUCUUAAGUCUGAUGUGAAAGCCCCCGGCUCAACCGGGGAGGGUCAUUGGAAACUGGGA